AAUUUCCCUGAUCGAUAAAACACAGGCAUUCCCAUUCUGCAGGCCAACACUGCAGUUUCCAAAAGAGGGCAAUAGCCAGAGGUCUAAGUUUAUGGGUAGAAAUUUGUGGGUUAAGCAGUCAACAGCACCCCCCACCCUAGGGCCCUGUGCUCCAAACCAUGUGCCUCUUCCAACAUCCCUUCAUCCACCAGUCCCUCUUGCUGCCCUUCUUGAGGAAGCUCUAUAGAUUCUGCAGUGGCAGCGAUGUCACAACUUCCCGUGGCCUCCCCUUGGUGCUCAAGGCUUCACAUUGGUCCAGAUAGCAGUUGUAAGAUCUUGCAGGUGUGACAGGACCUGCCCUUGUCCCCCCUGAGUGUGUCCAUACCUUUUCAAAGGGAGGAGAAAGGAGGAAAAGAGGGCAGUAGCAGGGAGGCAAGUAGAGGAGGAGGGAGAGGAGGAAGGGUUGUUUCUGAGGUCAUCUUAGGCAGCCAACACUAUGUGAAAGAAGAAUGAGAAGCUCAAAAUCAUCAUAAUAAUACCAAAAUAGGACAAUUUUCACAUUAUGUAACUAAGUGGGAAAGGCAGGAAAUGAAGAUAGCAUUGGAUGAAACUAAUGUAGUUGCAGCCCACUGUAGUCAGAGUAAUUUUUCUUUCCUCAUCUUGUGUAUGAUCUAAAAAGGAGAGGAUGUUUUAUUUUUUUUUAAUGGAUCCAGCUGCAAGCAAUUGUGAAGGAACUGAGUAGUAUCAGCAAUGAUGGUCUAAGAAAGAAGUAGAUGUUGUUUGUUUGUUUGUUUCUGGGAGGAAAUGAAAUAAAUAAGCAUUUCAGAAUUUAAGACAAUCAGACUCCACAAACACAGCAUUUGAUAGGUCACUACAACCCAAAGGACCAGUUCUCCAUGAGACAACUGAAGGGUGGUAUACAGAAAGAUUAACUUAAGCCUCAGAAUAACCAAUCACCUCCAGCAUCCCCCAAGUCAGUGGGGAAAGACACCUUUCAGAGAUUGAUUCAGAACAGGGGUUUUAUCUGUCUGCUGGGAUUCACAUCCUUGGGUAUCCUGUGUCUCUCCACUUUGGGCAUUUCCUCCACUAGGUUAUCCCUGGUGACUAUCACUCCUUCACCUUCAACUGCUGCAGAAAUUAAUCCUCGUGAUUCUCACCUAAACCUUCCAGUUUAUUAACUAACUUUGAUAAAAGAACUAAUAAUAAAAUUAGGAACUAAAACGACAGCCACCAAGACCUGAAUUUAGGAACAAAAGCAGAUCCUGGUCAAACCUGCAAGCCUGUAAAGGGCUGAAAUAUAAUGCUUGUUUAACAGAGAUCCUUGGCUGUUCAGGUAACUGGUCUCUGGUAUCUCAUUUUCUCAUACUGAAGUCUCCUUGUGAUCCACAAACCAGUCAGUUAUCUCCUACCUUGCCUGCAGUGUGUGAGCAGGUGCACCCAGCCCUUCACAUCUUGACACAGAAGGACAGAGGGAAGCAAUAGGGGGAAGGGGAGGAGUUAAUAAAUUUUUUCCAGUAGCUGUAGAACAUCACUCCUUUUACCCCUCCAACUGAAAUGAUUUCAAACUCCACGGAGUGAUUUACUGCAUUAACCCAUCCUUGAGGACUAGAGUAAUCAUGUUGUUCUUUAGUGACAUGGAAUCGUCUCCUUCACUCCAUCAUCUUGUAAUACAGGACUACCUAAAGCCAUAAACGCUAGAAAGCAUCUAAAGCUGUGAAAAAAGUCAAUGGUGCAGCACUAAGUGUCUAACUCUCAGUUACAUAAUUAAAUAUUUCUUUUCCUCCCUCAACACACCAGUCACCUCUGAACAUUUCUUGUUUAUCCCUUGACCUGCUUAUUGCAAGGCAAUGAUGUGACUUUCACAAGAAGUAAUCCCACCAAUGGCAACAGGAUCAUUCAAAUACUAGUAUACUCUGCAGAGAUGGGCUUCUUGACUUGGCCAAAUUCCCACAUGAUAGAGCUGUCACAUACUGUAGAGUCACGACUUAUUUUCUAAAGUGCAAAAGGAGACAGAGAUUGGGAGAGAAAGGAAUUAUGAUGGCAGACUAAUUUCCUAUGAAAGAAGACAAAUUAUAAAGGGUAAUGUUUCUCAGACCUUUGCAAAUGCUCUGCUUUGUAGUAGUCCGAGUGUAAACUGAUAUGAGGAAAUACAAACUAUUACAGAAAGUGGUGCUGUUUGGCCUGCCUGUUCAACGAGCUCACUUUUGUUUUUCUUCUUUGUUUAAGGGGAGAAAUUUCAUUGUUUGCCUUGGAGAUUAUCCUUUUUACUCUAAAAUUUGAAAAUUAUGAAUGUUAUCAAAAACGCUUGUCUGAGUUUUGUAAAUAUUAGACUGUUUGUCCUCAGAGUAUUUGUGACUUCUCCAAGCUAUUCUGUACAUAUGAACACUUCUUAGAAGGAAGUAUAGAAAUAUUCUGUUGAUUCUCAGCACUGCUGAUAGUUUAAAUGUACACUCAUUGGUAGAGGUAUCAUAUCGCUUUGCCCAUUUUAAUAAUAAUUCAGCUAAACAAAUAAGCCAUGUAUCAAUUGUGUAUGACCACACCGAAACUAAAUGUGGAGAAAAACCAAAGUUAUUCAAUUGCAAUAUGUUAUGGGUAACACUAGCUUUUAUAAACAUGUUCUACCCAUCAGAAAAAUCAACUUUUCUCCAAAGGAUACUUUAUUGAUAACAGUGCAUUGUCAAUAGGUAGUUCUGCUGUGUUGCUGAGAUAAACAGCAUGAAUUUUGUUGUACCAAAUUUUGUACCCAAAGAAGACAAAUAGAAUAAAAGACCAGAGAAUUUGCAGAUGAUUUAUUCUUUGUAUUGCAGGUCUGUGUGUGAAUUGUCAAUUACUGGAAUGUUGUUUUGUUUUUCUUUCAUUGACUACCUGUUGAAAAUAUUCUGAUGUUUUAAAAAUCAUUCUUAGUUUGAUAUUUGCUCAAGAUUACUUCACUGCAAGUGAACUAAGGUAGAAAGAAUUUUGUUAGAUUGUGGCUCAUUUUUCAUGUUUAUGUACACUAACACAUUGAUCCUGAGCUUACUUAUGAUUUAUAGUAUAGAGUUUUAUUAUUAGAAAUGCAUAUUUCACUUUUUUUUUUUUUUUUUUGAAUUACCUGAACCUUAAAAUCUUUCAUUUGGACAAACAUUCCUGCCAAUAAAUCAUUCACUAGAAUGAUCAGAUAAAGCGUACAUGAAAUAUGCAUUAACAUAAUUGAAAUGAGUUUAUUUAAGAGC
Pseudopipra pipra is the source of this 3191-nucleotide long non-coding RNA. RefSeq lists it as uncharacterized. The transcript is spliced from 3 exons. Lineage: Eukaryota; Metazoa; Chordata; Aves; Passeriformes; Pipridae. The record is from RefSeq and is a predicted model, not a curated record.